GACGUAGGGGGCGAGCGUUGUCCGGAAUUACUGGGCGUAAAGAGCACGUAGGCGGGUAUUUAAGUCAGGUGUGAAAGACCGCAGCUCAACUGCGGGGUUGCACCUGAAACUGGGUAUCUUGAGGGCAGGAGAGGGCAGUGGAAUUCCUGGUGUAGCGGUGAAAUGCGUAGAAAUCAGGAGGAACACCAGUGGCGAAGGCGACUGUCUGGACUGACCCUGACGCUGAGGUGCGAAAGCGUGGGUAG
This 245-nucleotide ribosomal RNA is filed under the name uncultured bacterium. RNAcentral describes it as "partial 16S ribosomal RNA". It matches the Rfam family "Bacterial small subunit ribosomal RNA", at positions 524 to 768 of the family's 1533-position model. The record is from RNAcentral.